GACGAACGCUGGCGGCGUGCUUAACACAUGCAAGUCGAACGGAAAGGCCCUGCUUUUGUGGGGUGCUCGAGUGGCGAACGGGUGAGUGACACGUGAGUAACCUGCCCUUGACUUUGGGAUAACUUCAGGAAACUGGGGCUAAUACCGGAUAGGAGCUCCUGCUGCAUGGUGGGGGUUGGAAAGUUUCGGCGGUUGGGGAUGGACUCGCGGCUUAUCAGCUUGUUGGUGGGGUAGUGGCUUACCAAGGCUUUGACGGGUAGCCGGCCUGAGAGGGUGACCGGCCACAUUGGGACUGAGAUACGGCCCAGACUCCUACGGGAGGCAGCAGUGGGGAAUAUUGCACAAUGGGCGGAAGCCUGAUGCAGCAACGCCGCGUGCGGGAUGACGGCCUUCGGGUUGUAAACCGCUUUCGCCUGUGACGAAGCGUGAGUGACGGCAAUGGGUAAAGAAGCACCGGCUAACUACGUG
Molecule: ribosomal RNA, 468 nt
Filed under: uncultured bacterium
Lineage: Bacteria
Description: partial 16S ribosomal RNA
Rfam family: Bacterial small subunit ribosomal RNA
Source: RNAcentral